Molecule: ribosomal RNA, 250 nt
Filed under: uncultured prokaryote
Description: partial 16S ribosomal RNA
Rfam family: Bacterial small subunit ribosomal RNA
Source: RNAcentral
UACGUAUGGAGCAAGCGUUAUCCGGAUUUAUUGGGUUUAAAGGGAGCGCAGGCGGGUUGUUAAGCGUGACGUGAAAUGUAGCCGCUCAACGGCUGAACUGCGUCGCGAACUGGCAGUCUUGAGUGAGUACGACGUCAGCGGAAUUCGUGGUGUAGCGGUGAAAUGCUUAGAUAUCACGAAGAACCCCGAUUGCGAAGGCAGCUGACGAGUCCUUUACUGACGCUAAAGCUCGAAGGUGCGGGUAUCGAAC